This is a long non-coding RNA of Scophthalmus maximus (turbot), 1103 nucleotides long. RefSeq lists it as uncharacterized. The record is from RefSeq and is a predicted model, not a curated record. NCBI's taxonomy places the organism in Eukaryota, Metazoa, Chordata, Actinopteri, Pleuronectiformes, Scophthalmidae. The transcript is spliced from 3 exons.
CCUCCCCCAACAACUGGGAAUUUCUGGCUGGAUGUAAUUGUUUUUGGUAGACAGGCGAGCAAAGGGGCCGGGGGAGAUUGUUCUUGGCGACGACGCAGCUCUGCAGGAGUGAGCCUCCCCGUAUGAAACAACAUGACAAAACAAUGCAAUUACUGUGAAAGGCGCCUCUCAAUGGCCAGCAGGACUUCAUUUCCAACUGAAGAGAGCCGUUGCAUUUAAAAGAAGACGGGGGUUACUGGGAGCAGUGGACGGGAAAAGGUACCAUGCUCUGGAGCAGGAGAAACCUUCUUCCUGGCAAAUCUUUAUAACAUCCUUCGAGGCCCACGCUGAAUAGCUGAACACCUAUGACACUCAUCCCUCUAUUGUGAUGGCGAAACUGCUUCUCCUGAUUGAUUGAUUGAUUGGUUGGUUGGUUGAUUAAUUUAUUGAAUUUGUCUCACAGGGCCCAUUGGAGGCUGGACACCCUCCAACCCUGCACUGGAGGGUAAUAUUUGGCACUGUCAUGCACGGUGCCUAUAGAGGACAAAUCCUGGAAUUACACCUUGACUUCCUGUACAGUCGCCAGGACGCAGUGGGUGAGAAACAGCAUCUGGACACCACAGCUGAUGUGGGGUUUCCCCCCCCCCCCCUUGACAGUACAAGGUCACUCUAUCAGCGUCCCUGACGAGUCAUGAGUCACUGGACUGUACCGGGUCUGGGCUCAUUCCAUUACAUAGGGCCGAAUGUUCAACCCUCGUCUUUUGCAACUGUCCUACAUCCACAGUCGUUUCCUAAAGGAAACGGUUUAAAGUGUCGAUGUUCCUUGGCACCUUGAGUCCCUGAGAUUAUUUGUCCAGUUAGCUCAUUCAUGUCAACAGGCGUCUGUGUAUCCUGUCGUGUCCGUGGAACAUCCUCGUGAGCAGCCAGCGCUGUUUACCAAGAAUCAGUUCAAUGACAUUCGCUCAGUUUCUCAUCAUUUUGUGGUUUUAUUUCCUCUUUCUUGUCAAGGGGAUUUUUCUAACUGUAACUGUCUACUGCGGCAAGAUUAAUGAAUCUUUUUAUUUAAGAGGACGGAGACAUGUUUAUUAAAGGUGAAUGGAGUCGUGUCCAUUGUCUUUGAGAUU